RNAcentral lists this ribosomal RNA (484 nucleotides) under uncultured bacterium. RNAcentral describes it as "partial 16S ribosomal RNA". It matches the Rfam family "Bacterial small subunit ribosomal RNA", at positions 30 to 507 of the family's 1533-position model. The record is from RNAcentral.
AUUGAACGCUGGCGGCAGGCCUAACACAUGCCAGUCGAGCGGAUGAAGGGAGCUUGCUCCUGGAUUCAGCGGCGGACGCGUGAGAAAUGCCUAGGAAUCUGCCUGGUAGUGGGGGAUAACGUCCGGAAACGGGCGCUAAUACCGCAUACGUCCUGAGGGAGAAAGUGGGGGAUCUUCGGACCUCACGCUAUCAGAUGAGCCUAGGUCGGAUUAGCUAGUUGGUGGGGUAAAGGCCUACCAAGGCGACGAUCCGUAACUGGUCUGAGAGGAUGAUCAGUCACACUGGAACUGAGACACGGUCCAGACUCCUACGGGAGGCAGCAGUGGGGAAUAUUGGACAAUGGGCGAAAGCCUGAUCCAGCCAUGCCGCGUGUGUGAAGAAGGUCUUCGGAUUGUAAAGCACUUUAAGUUGGGAGGAAGGGCAGUAAGUUAAUACCUUGCUGUUUUGACGUUACCAACAGAAUAAGCACCGGCUAACUUCGUG